CCCUGAGUGGUGUAAACAGUUAAUGUGUUUGGUUGCUAGCCAAAAAGUUGGUGGUUCAAGUCCACCCAGAGGUG
RNAcentral lists this transfer RNA (74 nucleotides) under Loxodonta africana (African savanna elephant). It matches the Rfam family "tRNA". Rfam says of the family: Transfer RNA (tRNA) molecules are approximately 80 nucleotides in length. Their secondary structure includes four short double-helical elements and three loops (D, anti-codon, and T loops). The record is from Rfam by way of RNAcentral. Lineage: Eukaryota; Metazoa; Chordata; Mammalia; Proboscidea; Elephantidae.